This 21-nucleotide transfer RNA is filed under the name Epinephelus awoara (yellow grouper). RNAcentral describes it as "partial tRNA-Pro". Lineage: Eukaryota; Metazoa; Chordata; Actinopteri; Perciformes; Serranidae. The record is from RNAcentral.
CUAAACUACUCUUUGAAACUU